Molecule: transfer RNA, 74 nt
Organism: Treponema maltophilum ATCC 51939
Lineage: Bacteria; Pseudomonadati; Spirochaetota; Spirochaetia; Treponematales; Treponemataceae
Rfam family: tRNA
About the family: Transfer RNA (tRNA) molecules are approximately 80 nucleotides in length.
Source: Rfam
GAGUGAUUAGCUCAUUUGGAUAGAGCGUCGCCCUCCGGAGGCGAAGGUGGCAGGUUCGAAUCCUGUAUCACUCG